Molecule: unclassified non-coding RNA, 392 nt
Filed under: soil metagenome
Description: partial contains 5.8S ribosomal RNA, internal transcribed spacer 2, and large subunit ribosomal RNA
Rfam family: 5.8S ribosomal RNA (bases 1-122)
Source: RNAcentral
GAUGAAGAACGUAGCGAAAUGCGAUACUUGGUGUGAAUUGCAGAAUCCCGUGAACCAUCGAGUCUUUGAACGCAAGUUGCGCCCGAAGCCAUUAGGCCGAGGGCACGCCUGCCUGGGCGUCACAUGUCGUUGCCCCCCCCAUCUACUCCUUCGGGAUUGCGGGGGGCGGAUGAUGGCCUCCCGUGCGCCUCGCCGCGCGGUUGGCAUAAAUGCCAAGUCCUCGGCGAUGCACGCCACGACAAUCGGUGGUUGCGAAACCUCGGUUGCCCGUCGUGUGCGGUCGUCGCGCAUCGAGGGCUCGAAAAAAUUGCCGGGUUCCGGCUCGGCUUUCAACGCGACCCCAGGUCAGGCGGGGUUACCCGCUGAAUUUAAGCAUAUCAAUAAGCGGAGGA